Mycetomoellerius zeteki is the source of this 611-nucleotide long non-coding RNA. RefSeq lists it as uncharacterized. The record is from RefSeq and is a predicted model, not a curated record. The transcript has 3 exons. NCBI's taxonomy places the organism in Eukaryota, Metazoa, Arthropoda, Insecta, Hymenoptera, Formicidae.
CAUUUUCAUCACAUUGGUGUCAGUCGUUUGAUAAAUUAUGUGAACGUUGUGGAAGAAAUGAUAUAUUAUUUAAAAGUGAAUUAGUUUCGAUAAAAGAGGUGCUUAUUAUUCACUUAAUAUCUUUUAUUUCAGAGAAUGGUAAGUUAGUAAAGAUACCACACAAAUUUAGUUUACGUGCUGUUCCGACAACGAAAAUAUUAAUAGCUGGACAGACAUACAAAGUUAUGCUAUAUUUCAUUAUGGUUCAUGUGUCGAAGAGGGUCAUUAUACAAGUAUGUGUCGAGAGAAGGAACAUCUUGGAUUGAAAUUGAUGAUGUAAAAACAGCAUUGCAAUAAUUGAUGGUAAAACGUACUUUCAAAAACACGGAAUAUUUUGAAAACUUUUUUGGACGAUGCUGUAUGCAAGAAAUUAUCAUGGACUGGACAUAAGGGAUUAAUGGCAAUUAAAGACUUCAACUUUGUCGGUAUUAUAACAGAUUAUGUAUCAACUACAGAUAAAUGCACCCUAUAUGAAGUCUCAAAAGUAAUCCAAGAAUGGCUGCGGCGCGCAGGAGAUCGUAUAAAUUAUCAAACAAAGAAAUACGCAAAUAUAAAUGCAGCUGAAAAUAUAA